RNAcentral lists this ribosomal RNA (253 nucleotides) under uncultured bacterium. RNAcentral describes it as "partial 16S ribosomal RNA". It matches the Rfam family "Bacterial small subunit ribosomal RNA", at positions 524 to 776 of the family's 1533-position model. The record is from RNAcentral.
UACGUAGGGUGCGAGCGUUGUCCGGAAUUACUGGGCGUAAAGAGCUCGUAGGUGGUUUGUCGCGUUGUUCGUGAAAACUCACAGCCUAACUGUGGGCGUGCGGGCGAUACGGGCAGACUGGAGUACUGCGGGGGAGACUGGAAUUCCUGGUGUAGCGGUGGAAUGCGCAGAUAUCAGGAGGAACACCGGUGGCGAAGGCGGGUCUCUGGGCAGUAACUGACGCUGAGGAGCGAAAGCGUGGGGAGCGAACAGG